Molecule: ribosomal RNA, 1175 nt
Filed under: uncultured Methanomassiliicoccales archaeon
Lineage: Archaea; Methanobacteriati; Thermoplasmatota; Thermoplasmata; Methanomassiliicoccales
Description: bacterial SSU rRNA
Rfam family: Archaeal small subunit ribosomal RNA
Source: RNAcentral
GGGACUGAGGAUAAUACCCUAUAGGUUACCGAUGCUGGAAUGCUCGGUAACUCAAAGUUCCGGCGCCUUAGGAUGGAUCUGCGGCCGAUUAGGUUGUUGUUGGGGUAACGGCCCAACAAGCCCGUAAUCGGUACGGGUUGUGGGAGCAAGAGCCCGGAGUUGGAUUCUGAGACACGAAUCCAGGCCCUACGGGGCGCAGCAGGCGCGAAAACUUUACAAUGCGGGCAACCGUGAUAAGGGAACCUCGAGCGCCUGUACAUGCAGGCUGUCUGGGUGUCUAAAACACACCCAAAGAAAGGGCCGGGCAAGACCGGUGCCAGCCGCCGCGGUAAUACCGGCGGCUCGAGUGGUGGCCACUUUUAUUGGGCUUAAAGCGUUCGUAGCUGGGUUGUUAAGUCUCUUGGGAAAUCCGGCGGCUUAACCGUCGGGCGUCUAAGAGAUACUGGCAAUCUUGGAACCGGGAGAGGUGAGGGGUACUUCGGGGGUAGGAGUGAAAUCCUGUAAUCCUCGAGGGACCACCUGUGGCGAAGGCGCCUCACCAGAACGGCUUCGACAGUGAGGGACGAAAGCUGGGGGAGCAAACCGGAUUAGAUACCCGGGUAGUCCCAGCCGUAGACGAUGUGCGUUAGGUGUAUCGACGACCACGAGUCGUCGAGGUGCCGAAGGGAAACCGUGAAACGUACCGCCUGGGAAGUACGGUCGCAAGGCUGAAACUUAAAGGAAUUGGCGGGGGAGCACCACAACAGGUGGAGCCUGCGGUUUAAUUGGACUCAACGCCGGGAAGCUCACCGGAUAGGACAGCGGAAUGAUUGCCGGGCUGAAGACUCUGCAUGACUAGCUGAGAGGAGGUGCAUGGCCGUCGUCAGUUCGUACUGUGAAGCAUCCUGUUAAGUCAGGCAACGAGCGAGACCCACGCCAACAGUUGCCAGCACGAUCCCCGGAUCGGUGGGGACACUGUUGGGACCGCCUCUGCUAAAGAGGAGGAAGGAAUGGGCAACGGUAGGUCAGCAUGCCCCGGAUUAUCCGGGCUACACGCGGGCUACAAUGGGCAGGACAAUGGGUAUCGACACCGAAAGGUGAAGGCAAUCUCCUAAACCUGUCCGUAGUUCGGAUUGUGGGCUGUAACUCGCCCACAUGAAGCUGGAAUCUGUAGUAAUCGCGUCAAAAUGCGCGUC